RNAcentral lists this ribosomal RNA (440 nucleotides) under uncultured bacterium. RNAcentral describes it as "partial 16S ribosomal RNA". It matches the Rfam family "Bacterial small subunit ribosomal RNA", at positions 338 to 795 of the family's 1533-position model. The record is from RNAcentral.
CCUACGGGAGGCAGCAGUGGGGAAUAUUGCACAAUGGGGGGAACCCUGAUGCAGCGACGCCGCGUGAGUGAGGAAGUACUUCGGUAUGUAAAGCUCUAUCAGCAGGGAAGAAAAUGACGGUACCUGACUAAGAAGCCCCGGCUAACUACGUGCCAGCAGCCGCGGUAAUACGUAGGGGGCAAGCGUUAUCCGGAUUUACUGGGUGUAAAGGGAGCGUAGACGGUUACGUAAGUCUGGAGUGAAAUCCCGGGGCUUAACCCUGGGGCUGCUUUGGAAACUGUGUAACUGGAGUACAGGAGGGGCAGGCGGAAUUCCUGGUGUAGCGGUGAAAUGCGUAGAUAUCAGGAGGAACACCGGUGGCGAAGGCGGCCUGCUGGACUGUAACUGACGUUGAGGCUCGAAAGCGUGGGGAGCAAACAGGAUUAGAUACCCUAGUAGUC